ACUCAAAGGAAUUGACGGGGACCCGCACAAGCAAUGGAGCGUGUUGUUUAAUUCGAUGGUAAGCGAAGAACCUUACCAAGGUUUGACAUCUCUGGAAUUUUUUCGAAAGAAAAAAGUGCCUUCGGGAGCCAGAUGACAGGUGUUGCAUGGCCGUCGUCAGCUCGUGUCGUGAGAUGUUUGGUUAAGUCCAUCAACGAGCGCAACCCCUAUAGUUAGUUGUAUUUCUCUAGCUAGACUGCCCCGGUAACGGGGAGGAAGGAGGGGAUGAUGUCAGGUCAGUAUUACCCUUACACCUUGGGCUACAAACACGCUACAAUGGCCGGUACAAAGGGCAGCCAACCCGCGAGGGGGAGCAAAUCCCAUCAAAGCCGGUCCCAGUUCGGAUUGCAGGCUGAAACUCGCCUGCAUGAAGCCGGAAUUGCUAGUAACGGUGAGUCAGCUAUAUUACCGUGAAUACGUUCCCGGGUCUUGCACACACCGCCCGU
Molecule: ribosomal RNA, 485 nt
Filed under: uncultured bacterium
Lineage: Bacteria
Description: partial 16S ribosomal RNA
Rfam family: Bacterial small subunit ribosomal RNA
Source: RNAcentral